ACUGGAUCUUUGGACUAUAUUGCACUAUGCUGAUCAGGUGUCCGCACUAAGUUCGGCAUCAGUAUGGUGACCUCCCAGGAGUGCGGGACCACCAGGUUGUCUAACGACGGGUGAACUGGCCCAGGUCAGAAGCGAAGCAAGCCAAAACUACCAUGCUGAUCAGUAGUGGAAUCAUGCCUGUAAAUAGCCACUGCACUCCAGCCUGGGCAAACAUAGCGAGACCCCGUCUCUAAAA
RNAcentral lists this long non-coding RNA (235 nucleotides) under Homo sapiens (human). RNAcentral's name for it is "long non-coding RNA NONHSAT223522". It matches the Rfam family "Metazoan signal recognition particle RNA", at positions 68 to 299 of the family's 299-position model. From Rfam's summary of the family: The signal recognition particle (SRP) is a universally conserved ribonucleoprotein. It is involved in the co-translational targeting of proteins to membranes. The eukaryotic SRP consists of a 300-nucleotide 7S RNA and six proteins: SRPs 72, 68, 54, 19, 14, and 9. Lineage: Eukaryota; Metazoa; Chordata; Mammalia; Primates; Hominidae. The record is from RNAcentral.